RNAcentral lists this ribosomal RNA (299 nucleotides) under Salmonella enterica. RNAcentral's name for it is "partial 16S ribosomal RNA". It matches the Rfam family "Bacterial small subunit ribosomal RNA", at positions 672 to 970 of the family's 1533-position model. Lineage: Bacteria; Pseudomonadati; Pseudomonadota; Gammaproteobacteria; Enterobacterales; Enterobacteriaceae. RNAcentral also lists the same sequence under 3 other names. The record is from RNAcentral.
GGUGUAGCGGUGAAAUGCGUAGAGAUCUGGAGGAAUACCGGUGGCGAAGGCGGCCCCCUGGACAAAGACUGACGCUCAGGUGCGAAAGCGUGGGGAGCAAACAGGAUUAGAUACCCUGGUAGUCCACGCCGUAAACGAUGUCUACUUGGAGGUUGUGCCCUUGAGGCGUGGCUUCCGGAGCUAACGCGUUAAGUAGACCGCCUGGGGAGUACGGCCGCAAGGUUAAAACUCAAAUGAAUUGACGGGGGCCCGCACAAGCGGUGGAGCAUGUGGUUUAAUUCGAUGCAACGCGAAGAACC